ACAGCAUGGGUAACAAACAGCAAGAGCUGGAGGCCAUGGUCCAGCAGCAGAGCUGUGAUGUCAUUGCCAUCACAGAAACGUGGUGGGAUGCCUCACAUGGCUGGAGCACUACACUGGAUGGCUACAAGCUCUUCAGGAGAGACAGGAAAGGGAGAAGAGGUGAAGCUGAACCUGCUGGUGAAGGUGGUGCAGCUUCCCAAGCCACAUCCAGGACUGAGGCUCUGGGAGAUGCUGAGGGUGUGUCUCCUGGGAGGACUUCUCCAGCUCCUUUGCUGAUUCCUACAGAGAAGCCUGCCUCCCAUCGCAGGGGU
Long non-coding RNA from Passer domesticus (house sparrow), 311 nucleotides. RefSeq lists it as uncharacterized. The record is from RefSeq and is a predicted model, not a curated record. Lineage: Eukaryota; Metazoa; Chordata; Aves; Passeriformes; Passeridae. The transcript has 3 exons.